Molecule: ribosomal RNA, 253 nt
Filed under: uncultured bacterium
Lineage: Bacteria
Description: partial 16S ribosomal RNA
Rfam family: Bacterial small subunit ribosomal RNA
Source: RNAcentral
UACCGAGGGGGCAAGCGUUGUUCGGAAUUACUGGGCGUAAAGGGCGCGUAGGCGGCCUGUUAAGUCGAACGUGAAAUCCCCAGGCUCAACCUGGGAACUGCGUCCGAUACUGGCAGGCUUGAAUCCGGGAGAGGGAUGUGGAAUUCCAGGUGUAGCGGUGAAAUGCGUAGAUAUCUGGAGGAACACCGGUGGCGAAGGCGGCAUCCUGGACCGGUAUUGACGCUGAGGCGCGAAAGCCAGGGGAGCAAACGGG